RNAcentral lists this ribosomal RNA (1781 nucleotides) under human metagenome. RNAcentral's name for it is "bacterial LSU rRNA". It matches the Rfam family "Bacterial large subunit ribosomal RNA", at positions 508 to 2310 of the family's 2925-position model. The record is from RNAcentral.
GGAAAGGUGAAAAGAACCCCGAACAGGGGAGUGAAAUAGAACCUGAAACCAUACGCUUACAACCGGUCGGAGCAGCUUCGUGCUGUGACGGCGUGCCUAUUGAAUAAUGAGCCUACGAGUUACUAAUCACUAGCGAGGUUAAGUGCAAGGAUGCACGGAGCCGAAGCGAAAGCGAGUCUGAACAGGGCGUUUAGUUAGUGGUUGUAGACGCGAAACCUUGCGAUCUACCCUUGAGCAGGUUGAAGGUUGGGUAAAACCAACUGGAGGACCGAACGAAUAAGCGUUGAAAAGCUUCUCGAUGACUUGAGGGUAGGGGUGAAAGGCUAAUCAAGCUGGGAAAUAGCUCGUACUCCCCGAAAUGCCUUUUGGGGCAGCGUUGUAAUAAAGAGUCUACUGGAGGUAGAGCUACUGAUUGGAUGCGGGGGCUUCACCGCCUACCAAAUCCUGACAAACUCCGAAUGCCAGUAGUAUGAUUUACAGCAGUGAGUGACUGGGUGCUAAUGUCCAGUCGCAAAAGAGGAACAACUCAGACCAGCAACUAAGGUCCCGAAGAAUAUGCUAAGUUGAUCUAACGAUGUUUUGUUGCAGAGACAGCUAGGAUGUUAGCUUGGAAGCAGCUAUUCAUUCAAAGAGUGCGUAACAGCUCACUAGUCGAGCGACAGAGCGUGGAUAAUAAACGGGCAUCAAGCAUAUCACCGAAGUUCUGGGCGCGAGAGCGCGGUAGGGGAGCAUUCCAUUCAGCGUCGAAGCAGUUUCGUGAGGAAUUGUGGAGCGUAUGGAAAAGCAAAUGUAGGCAUGAGUAACGAUAAUGCGGGAGAGUAACCCGCACACCGCAAGACCAAGGUUUCCUGAUCAACGCUAAUCGGAUCAGGGUUAGUCGGGUCCUAAGGGUAAGCCGAACGGCGAUCUCGAUGGAUAAUCGGUUAAUAUUCCGAUACUAACAUAUACCUCGAUGGAGAGACGAAGGAACGUAAGUGCCGCCACCUGACGGAAUAGGUGGUUAAAGGGCGUAGGUAUAGGGGCAGAUUAAGAGUUAGUCCUUGCUGAAACCUGACAGUACAGAGAGCCUACGGGCAAUUUGAUAGAGCACCCAAGUCGACUUCCGAGAAAAUCUUCUAAGUUAUAGUAUAUGUUACCCGUACCGUAAACCGACACAGGUGGUCGAGGAGAGUAUCCUAAGGUGCUCGAGUGAAUCACGGUUAAGGAACUAGGCAAAUUAACCCCGUAACUUCGGGAAAAGGGGUCCCUAUGAAAGUAGGGCGCAGCGAAGAGGUCCAGGCGACUGUUUAUCAAAAACACAGGGCUCUGCAAAUUCGAAAGAAGACGUAUAGGGCCUGACACCUGCCCGGUGCUGGAAGGUUAAGAGGGGAUGUCAUCGCAAGAGAAGCAUUGAAUCGAAGCCCCAGUAAACGGCGGCCGUAACUAUAACGGUCCUAAGGUAGCGAAAUUCCUUGUCGGGUAAGUUCCGACCUGCACGAAUGGUGUAACGAUCUGGACACUGUCUCAACCGUGAGCUCGGUGAAAUUGUAGUCCCGGUGAUGAUGCCGGGUACCCGCAACGGGACGAAAAGACCCCGUGAACCUUUACUAUAGCUUAACGCUGAAUUUGGGUACACAAUGUGUAGGAUAGGCCGGAGGCUUUGAAGCGGGCACGCCAGUGUUCGUGGAGCCGACGUUGAAAUACGGCCCUUUGUGUAUUUGAGUUCUAACCCUGCGAAGGGGACACCGUUUGGUGGGUAGUUUGACUGGGGUGGUCGCCUCCAAAAGCGUAACGGAGGCUUC